CCAGCGAUGGCUUCAGGGGUGAUAUUUCCAAUAUAUAUCAGCCCUGGGCACUCUCGCCCUGCUGCUCACAGCAUGGUCCUCACACCAGCAGCCUCCGCCUUACCUGGGAGCUUGUUAGAAAUGCAGGAUCUCCCAGAUCUAUUGAGUUAGAAGCUGUAUUAACAAGAUCCCCAGUGAUUUUUAUGCACAAUCAAGUUUGUGAGGCACCGCUGCAGACUUCUGAGUGCAGGAAUGCGGCAGCCCUGGGUAGGUGUGGUUAGAAGGCCUGGACGGGGAGGCUGUGCGGAGGGGAUGAUGAAAGCAUGGGUGAGGGGAGAAGACCCUAAACAGCUGUCUUUGUUAGUCCCCGCCCACCUGGCCGGGAUGCCAGCAACAAGGCCAUCUGCAGUCUGCCCUGCCCUUCCUCCCCUCAGUGGCUUUGAAGGCAGGUGUCCUUGAAGCUAAGCUCUGCUGGCUGCAGGUAAAACCACAGGUGGGGGAGUUCUCUGAGACCUAGGAGCUGGGGUGUACGGAGAAGCGGGGCCCUGGGGAGCCUCGGAGAUUCCUGGUGGGAAGGCCUGGGCAGAACAGAAGGCUUGUCAAGUCAGAGGGCCACCUCUUCCUCCUCAAUUCUGCCAGAGAAAGCUCCUGUGCUGGGCUCUGAACCCCUUGCAGGGAGGGGUGCAGGUUAUCCCUCUUGGAGCAGGAGGGCUGGGUGCUUGGAAGGAAAACCUAGGAGCUUAGGGGCCCCAGCCUCCCAGGGAGAGCCAGGCCCUCUGGGGUGACACAUUUCUACAGAAGCAGGUGGGAACAUCACAGACGUCCCAGGGCCUGGGGCCCAGGGCUGCCAGGUACAGAAGGGCUGAAGGAGGCUGUCCAGGCCAGGGUGGGCAGUGGCCUGAGCCCGGCAGCUGGCCCUACAGCUCUCUCUCUUCGCUGGUCAGUGUGGCAAUUCUCCGCAGGUUUUCCCUGACUUUAAUAAACUCGGGGGCGUGAUCCUCUUCCUUCUCUGGUGGUUUUUCCAGCUGAAGGAGGGAGAAGCAGAGAGUGAAGUGGGUGGAGCUAGGGGGAUUCCUACUCUGAAAACCUGUGGAGUUUGGACCAAGGGCCCACUCAGUGGGGAAACAGAACCAACCUGGGGAUGAGUUUUGCUAUCAGCCUGGUAGCUGGGGCACAGAGCAUGAGACUGAGUUCUCCUUGUGCAGCCUGGUUCAAAUCACUCACCCCCUCUGGGCCUCAGCUUCCCCAUCUCUAAAAUGGGAAUGCCACCUGGCUCACAAGACAGUUAUAAGAAUGAAAUCAGAAUCAGCAUGCAGUACACUGGGCCAGUGAGGAAGCUGAGGUUCAGGGAAGCCACUCGCCCUAAGGACCUAGCAAAGUGAAUGGCAGAGGGAGGACUCAGGCCAGGAGUGGACUCUUAGUCCAGUGCUCUGUCUGCUGAUCCUCUUCCCUCUUACUAGCUGUGGCCACAGCAGAGCUCCUCCCUGGAGGACAGCCCUGGAGGAUGCGUGGUCCCUGCUGGGUGCCCAUCACCCACCUGGUUCAGCCUCUGCUGCCGUCUCAGCAGCUCCUGCUCAAAGGGGCACUGCAGCCGCUUGGCUUCCAGCUCCUCCUUCUUCUUCUUGAUGAGCUGGUUCCGCCGGCGGUGCUCUAGGACACGCUGCAGCUCUGGCUUGCUGUCCACACCAAGGCCCCUGGGGUGGGAAGUGGGGAGCUGUCAGGAGACCAUCACCUUCCCGCUUCCCCCAGCCUCAGGGCUGCUUCCUGCGGUGACACCAACCCCCAUUAUUAUCUUGUGCAAUCCUCCCUGUAGCCUUGGAGGUGGACCCAUUACUGUCCCAUUUUACAGGGACAGAAACUGAGGCUCCUAGGGCUGAAGAUACCAGUCCAAGACAUAGCUACAGGUAGGCCACAUGAGGAUUUGAACCCAGGCCUGUUUGACUGCAGAGACCAAGUUUUAUGUUAUUUCUGGUUAUUUUCUUAGGAUACUUUCCUAAAGGUAGAAUUGCUGGGUCAGGCUCUUUAAAAAGAUUUGAGGUACAUAUAUCUAUCUGUGCCUGAGAAAGGUUAUCCAGUGUAUCCUCCUCUGAACAGUGUACAAGAGCAUCUAUUUCUCCCCACCAUCACCAGCCAAUCUUUUCAUAUUUGAGAAUCUGGUAGGCCAGAAAGAAUAUCUGCUUUUCAUUUGUUUCUUUAUUAGUCACAUGGAACAACAUUUGAUAUGUUUACCAGCCAUUUGCAUUUCUUCUUUUGUGAAUUAACUGUAUUAUCAAUAUUAUUUUUACAGACAAGGACUUGCUCUGUUGCCCAGGCUGGAGUGCAGUGGUGCAAUCAUAGCUCACUGCAGCCUUGAACUCCUGGGAUCAAGUGAUCCUCCUGCCUCGGCCUCCCAAAGUGUUGGGAUUACAGGUGUGAGCCACCAUGUCUGGCUGUACUGUAUUACUUUUUAUUCAUUUUUUCCUUGUCCAUUGUAAGAGAUCUGGGCCAGGCACAGUGGCUCACGCCUGUAAUCCCAGCACUUUGGGAGGCCGAGGAGGGCGGAUCACGAGGUCAGGAGACCGAGACCAUCCUGGCUAACACAGUGAAACCCUGUCUCUACUAGAAAUACAAAAGAAUUAGCCGAGUGUGGUGGC
This 2612-nucleotide long non-coding RNA is filed under the name Homo sapiens (human). Its description in RNAcentral is "HSALNT0312003". Lineage: Eukaryota; Metazoa; Chordata; Mammalia; Primates; Hominidae. The record is from RNAcentral.